GUGGGCCCUCGAAAUCCUGUGGCGGGAGGAUUCAGUCGGAGGCGGCCGGCGGGCUGGACGGGACACGGAUAUCGGUUACCCGCGAGAGGGGCCGUCCCGUCGCCCGGCGUGUCGCACUCGACGCAUUUGUUUCCCGCCCGAAGGACGCCGCAGCCGGUCGGGACGCACGACGGCCUGGAGGGCGCGCGAUGGCAGGUGGCCGGUGGUUGGGUUCCGAUCCCUCCGCCGGUUGUUAGCCGGUGCGCCCGGGCACGUCGCCCGACCGAGGUGUCACGAGGCCCGUAUGGGCUCCUCCGCCUCCUCCCUUGGCCGGAGGCCGGGGUGGAACGGCAGACGUCAUUCCGGCACGGGGCCGCACUGGCCUAUCCAGUGGGCCGCCUAGUCGGCGUCAUCGAUGGCCGUUUCGCGCCCGUGGGAGUGCUGGCGGCUGGCGGCGAGUAGGUCGGUCACCCACCCGACCCGUCUUGAAACACGGACCAAGGAGUCUAACAUGUGCGCGAGUCGAUGGGUCUUGAAUAUGCCCAGAGGCGCAAUGAAAGCAAAGUGCUCCGUUCCCGAGUGUCCGGAGCCUAGUUGGGAUCCCCCCUGAGAUACGGGGGGCGCACCAGCGACCCGUCCUAUCCGAUUCAUCGGUUGGGCGGAGUUCGAGCGCACACGUUGGGACCCGAAAGAUGGUGAACUAUGCCCGGGCAGGACGAGGCCAGAGGAAACUCUGGUGGAGGUCCGUAGCGGUUCUGACGUGCAAAUCGAUCGUCGGAUCCGGGUCUAGGGGCGAAAGACUAAUCGAACCGUC
Molecule: ribosomal RNA, 793 nt
Filed under: Deinopis sp. 37 DD-2019
Lineage: Eukaryota; Metazoa; Arthropoda; Arachnida; Araneae; Deinopidae
Description: partial large subunit ribosomal RNA
Rfam family: Eukaryotic large subunit ribosomal RNA (bases 476-793)
Source: RNAcentral